UGCAGAAUCCCGUGAACCAUCGAGUCUUUGAACGCAAGUUGCGCCCGAUGCCAUUAGGUUGAGGGCACGUCUGCCUGGGUGUCACAUAUCGAAGCCUCAUGCCAAUUUCCUUUUGACAGGUAUUGUGCGGGGUGAAUGUUGGCCUCCCGUGAGCUCUUUCGUCUCAUGGUUGGUUGAAAAUUGAGACCUUGGUAGGGUGUGCCAUGAUAGAUGGUGGUUGUGUGACCCACGAGACCAAUCAUGCGCUACUCUAUUGAGUUUGGCCUCUUUUACCCAUAUGCGUUUCUAAACGCUCGUGAUGAGACCUCAGGUCAGGCGGGGCUACCCGCUGAAUUUAAGCAUAUCAAUAAGCGGAGGAAAAGAAACUAACAAGGAUUCCCUUAGUAACGGCGAGCGAACCGGGAUAAGCCCACCAUGAGAAUCGGUCGCCCUCGGCGUUCGA
Molecule: ribosomal RNA, 442 nt
Filed under: Vicia hirsuta
Lineage: Eukaryota; Viridiplantae; Streptophyta; Magnoliopsida; Fabales; Fabaceae
Description: eukaryotic LSU rRNA
Rfam family: Eukaryotic large subunit ribosomal RNA (bases 302-442)
Source: RNAcentral